Molecule: ribosomal RNA, 301 nt
Filed under: uncultured bacterium
Lineage: Bacteria
Description: partial 16S ribosomal RNA
Rfam family: Bacterial small subunit ribosomal RNA
Source: RNAcentral
CAGCCGCCACGGGAAUACGGAGGGGGCUAGCGUUGUUCGGAAUUACUGGGCGUAAAGCGCACGUAGGCGGCUUUGUAAGUCAGAGGUGAAAGCCCGGGGCUCAACCCCGGAAUUGCCUUUGAGACUGCAUCGCUUGAAUCCAGGAGAGGUGAGUGGAAUUCCGAGUGUAGAGGUGAAAUUCGUAGAUAUUCGGAAGAACACCAGUGGCGAAGGCGGCUCACUGGACUGGUAUUGACGCUGAGGUGCGAAAGCGUGGGGAGCAAACAGGAUUAGAGACCCGCGUAGUCCCUGUCUCUUAUAC